AUUGAACGCUGGCGGCAUGCCUUACACAUGCAAGUCGAACGGCAGCACGGGUGCUUGCACCUGGUGGCGAGUGGCGAACGGGUGAGUAAUACAUCGGAACAUGUCCUGUAGUGGGGGAUAGCCCGGCGAAAGCCGGAUUAAUACCGCAUACGAUCUACGGAUGAAAGCGGGGGACCUUCGGGCCUCGCGCUAUAGGGUUGGCCGAUGGCUGAUUAGCUAGUUGGUGGGGUAAAGGCCUACCAAGGCGACGAUCAGUAGCUGGUCUGAGAGGACGACCAGCAAGACUGGGACUGAGACACGGCCCAGACUCAUACGGGAGGCAGCAGUGGGGAAUUUUGGACAAUGGGCGAAAGGCUGAUCCAGAAAUGCCGCGUGUGUGAAGAAGGCCUUCGGGUUGUAAAGCACUUUGGUCCGGAAAGAAAUCCUUGGCCCUAAUACGGUCGGGGGAUGACGGUACCGGAAGAAUAAGUACCGGCUAACUACGUG
RNAcentral lists this ribosomal RNA (486 nucleotides) under uncultured bacterium. Its description in RNAcentral is "partial 16S ribosomal RNA". It matches the Rfam family "Bacterial small subunit ribosomal RNA", at positions 29 to 507 of the family's 1533-position model. The record is from RNAcentral.